CCUACGGGCGGCUGCAGUGAGGAAUAUUGGUCAAUGGACGAGAGUCUGAACCAGCCAAGUAGCGUGAAGGAUGACUGCCCUAUGGGUUGUAAACUUCUUUUAUAUGGGAAUAAAAUGUUCCACGUGUGGGAUUUUGUAUGUACCAUAUGAAUAAGGAUCGGCUAACUCCGUGCCAGCAGCCGCGGUAAUACGGAGGAUCCGAGCGUUAUCCGGAUUUAUUGGGUUUAAAGGGAGCGUAGGUGGAUUGUUAAGUCAGUUGUGAAAGUUUGCGGCUCAACCGUAAAAUUGCAGUUGAGACUGGCAGUCUUGAGUACAGGAGAGGUGGGCGGAAUUCGUGGUGUAGCGGUGAAAUGCUUAGAUAUAACGAAGAACUCCGAUUGCGAAGGCAGUUCACUGGACUGCAACUGACACUGAGGCUCGAAAGUGUGGGUAUCAAACAGGAUUAGAUACCCUUGUAGUC
RNAcentral lists this ribosomal RNA (460 nucleotides) under uncultured bacterium. RNAcentral's name for it is "partial 16S ribosomal RNA". It matches the Rfam family "Bacterial small subunit ribosomal RNA", at positions 338 to 795 of the family's 1533-position model. The record is from RNAcentral.